This 266-nucleotide ribosomal RNA is filed under the name uncultured prokaryote. Its description in RNAcentral is "partial 16S ribosomal RNA". It matches the Rfam family "Bacterial small subunit ribosomal RNA", at positions 524 to 794 of the family's 1533-position model. The record is from RNAcentral.
CACGUAGGAGGCAAACGUUAUCCGGAUUUACUGGGCGUAAAGCGCGUGUAGGUGGUUCUGUAAGUAGGCGUGAAAGCUCCGCUCAACUGGAGAGGCCGUUCUAAACUGCGAGCUAGAGGAUGGUAGAGGGAGGUGGAAUUCCAGGUGUAGCGGUGGAAUGCGCAGAUAUCUGGAGGAACACCAGUGGCGAAGGCGGCCUCCUGGACCAUUCCUGACACUCAGACGCGAAAGCUAGGGUAGCAAACGGGAUUAGAUACCCGUGUAGU